RNAcentral lists this long non-coding RNA (237 nucleotides) under Ananas comosus (pineapple). RNAcentral's name for it is "long non-coding RNA (ACOM_LNC033451)". The record is from RNAcentral. Lineage: Eukaryota; Viridiplantae; Streptophyta; Magnoliopsida; Poales; Bromeliaceae.
CCAUGAUUUCGAUUUCUGUACCCGAUUUGUAAGCGGUGAUCCUUUCUCGUGGUUCGUCCUCGUUUGUGAUCUGCAGGAAGACGGGACGUUUCGAGUCUAAUUCCCUUAUCCCCGGAGAUGGAGCCGUCACAGACAAUUGGAUUAGGGUUAGACCGGGAUUCCCGUAUGUUACAUAUUUAUAUAUAACUUAAUGUGAGGAUGUUAAAUCACGUCCGUCCAUCAAGGACGUGUCCAGAU